Molecule: ribosomal RNA, 497 nt
Filed under: uncultured bacterium
Lineage: Bacteria
Description: partial 16S ribosomal RNA
Rfam family: Bacterial small subunit ribosomal RNA
Source: RNAcentral
GAUGAACGCUGGCGGCGUGCCUAAUACAUGCAAGUCGAGCGAACAGACGAGGAGCUUGCUCCUCUGACGUUAGCGGCGGACGGGUGAGUAACACGUGGAUAACCUACCUAUAAGACUGGGAUAACUUCGGGAAACCGGAGCUAAUACCGGAUAAUAUAUUGAACCGCAUGGUUCAUUAGUGAAAGACGGUUUUGCUGUCACUUAUAGAUGGAUCCGCGCCGCAUUAGCUAGUUGGUAAGGUAACGGCUUACCAAGGCGACGAUGCGUAGCCGACCUGAGAGGGUGAUCGGCCACACUGGAACUGAGACACGGUCCAGACUCCUACGGGAGGCAGCAGUAGGGAAUCUUCCGCAAUGGGCGAAAGCCUGACGGAUCAACGCCGCGUGAGUGAUGAAGGUCUUCGGAUCGUAAAACUCUGUUAUUAGGGAAGAACAAAUGUGUAAGUAACUAUGCACGUCUUGACGGUACCUAAUCAGAAAGCCACGGCUAACUACGUG